RNAcentral lists this ribosomal RNA (382 nucleotides) under uncultured eukaryote. Its description in RNAcentral is "partial 18S ribosomal RNA". It matches the Rfam family "Eukaryotic small subunit ribosomal RNA", at positions 592 to 976 of the family's 1831-position model. The record is from RNAcentral.
UGUAAGCGUAUACCAAAGUUGUUUCAGUUAAAACGUUCGUAGUCGGAAUUUGGCAGUUCCGGAUGUGUGCACGUCGUGUGCGCACUUCGCGGGGAUUGCUUUUGUGGUCUUGCGUAGGAUGAGGCACUUUUAUUAGUGAACGUCCUCACGCAACCACUUUUUACUGUGAGAAAAUCAGAGUGCUCAAAGCAGGCAUUUGCCGUGAAUGUAUUAGCAUGGAAUAAUAGAAUAGGACUUGGUUCUAUUUUGUUGGUUUGUUGGGACUGAGUAAUGAUUAAGAGGGACAGUUGGGGGCAUUUGUAUUUCGGUGCUAGAGGUGAAAUUCUUAGAUUACCGAAAGACAAACUGCUGCGAAAGCGUCUGCCAAGGAUGUUUUCAUUGA